Molecule: ribosomal RNA, 405 nt
Filed under: uncultured bacterium
Lineage: Bacteria
Description: partial 16S ribosomal RNA
Rfam family: Bacterial small subunit ribosomal RNA
Source: RNAcentral
GACGAACGCUGGCGGCGUGCUUAACACAUGCAAGUCGAGCGGAGCGGCGAACGGGUGAGUAACGCGUGAGUAACUGCCCCCCUCUCUGGGAUAACAGUUGGAAACUGCUGCUAAUACCGGAUAGUGGGGGAUGACUCGCGUCCUAUCAGCUUGUUGGUGGGGUGGGGGCCUACCAAGGCGACGACGGGUAGCCGGCCGGAGAGGGCGACCGGCCCAAUGGCGCUGAGGUACGGACAAAGCUGCUACGGGAGGCAGCAGGGGGGAAUAGUGCACACUGGGGGAAACCCUGAUGCAGCAACGCCGCGUGCGGGAUGACGGCCUUCGGGUUGUAAACCGCUUUCAGCCAUGACGCGGUAGUGGCAGAAGAAGCACCGGCUAACUACGUGCCAGCAGCCGCGGUAAUUC